UCGCUGGUUCGAUUCCGGCA
RNAcentral lists this non-coding RNA (20 nucleotides) under Arabidopsis thaliana (thale cress). The record is from RNAcentral. Lineage: Eukaryota; Viridiplantae; Streptophyta; Magnoliopsida; Brassicales; Brassicaceae.